Molecule: ribosomal RNA, 495 nt
Filed under: Microserica sp. LW1321
Lineage: Eukaryota; Metazoa; Arthropoda; Insecta; Coleoptera; Scarabaeidae
Description: partial 16S large subunit ribosomal RNA
Rfam family: Bacterial large subunit ribosomal RNA
Source: RNAcentral
UUAAAGUCUAAUCUGCCCUAUGAGGAUUUAAAUGGCCGCGGUAUUUUGACCGUGCAAAGGUAGCAUAAUAAUUAGUUUUUUAAUUGAAAGCUAGCAUGAAUGAUUGGACGAGAAAAUAGCUGUCUCAAUUUAAUUUUUUUAGAAUUUUAUUUUUAAGUAAAAAAGCUUAAAUUUAAUUAAAAGACGAGAAGACCCUAUAGAGUUUUAUAAUUAUUUUAUUAUAAAUUUUCAAGAAUUUUUUUAUUUAUAUUGAAUUAAUUAUUUUAUUGGGGCGAUAGAAAAAUUUGAUUAACUUUUUUUAUUAUUUAAACAUUAAUUUAUGAUAAAUUGAUCCAUUUUUUAUGAUUACAAGAUUAAGUUACCUUAGGGAUAACAGCGUAAUUUUUUUUUAGAGUUCUUAUCGAAAGAAAAGAUUGCGACCUCGAUGUUGGAUUAAAAUUUAUAUUUGGUGUAGGAGCUAAAUAAUUAGGUCUGUUCGACCUUUAAAAUUUUACA